This is a long non-coding RNA of Notolabrus celidotus (New Zealand spotty), 1336 nucleotides long. RefSeq lists it as uncharacterized. The transcript has 4 exons. Lineage: Eukaryota; Metazoa; Chordata; Actinopteri; Labriformes; Labridae. The record is from RefSeq and is a predicted model, not a curated record.
AUGGAAAACUGCAAGCGUGGAGAUUAAGUGUCCCGCUGCUGAUGGCUGUCUUUGUUAUAUAUGACGCCGGAGUGAGGCUGUUGAUUCAUGGGGGCCUCUGUGUAGGAUGUCCAAGUGUUUGACACAGCCUUUUGCCGCUCCACCAUUAUGGCUGUCUUCAUCGCAGGAGCCAGAGAGUUGGAGAUAUGUGAAUGAAAAAAAGGAACGUAGAGAACACCUGCUGGAAACUGCUGAUUGAGGGGAAGCGUGUUCCUGUCCAGUGCAGUGAUCUCUGCCAAAGGAUGGUCGGUGCAGCAGAGACCACCUACCCCUGUGAGAGAGAGGGGAACAGGUUAUCAGGUUCCAGGUGCAGGACAGCCUGAAGAGGAUAUGAUGUAACCGGUCCAGGCUUCUCUCUGCUUUCUCUGUUAGCAUUGUGGGUCAUGGCAGGAGUCCCUUCCUGUUCAAGGGUGUCAGCCACACAACGGGAUGAUGAGGAUACCAUCCAGGACACUCUGGGGAGGACUUUAAAGACCAGAGACAAGUGAGGACAUGAGAGAGGCCACGGACAUGGCAGAGAGUGUUUGCUUUGCUGUGGAUGUGAGCUAUGUGAGGAUCCGUCUGUAUAUUUAUCUUUUUAUGGUGACUGGCUGGAACAAGACUCAGUAGAGGAACCCCUGACAUGGGUUCACCACGCUGCUGCCCCAGAGUAUCAGAGAGCAACAUGUAAACAAUCUAUAUUUUUAACUACACCUUCAAAGCAUGUGACCUAUUGCUUCUUCCAAUUUUCUGAGCACAUGACCUCACAGAUUUGUUUACAUGAUGAUUAGCAUGGUCUGCUCUGUGAGUAAUUUCAAAGAAAGACUAAUUUGUGUGAUCCUUCAGCAGGAGAAAUCACACGGGGUGUUUGGGAGCAGUUUGUCAAAGAUAAGAGUCAUGCGGUGAUAAUGAAACAAAGAAAGCAUUUACAGAUUUCUAUGGAAGCAUAGAAGUAAAACAGAAUGCUCUAAACGUAUCCAAAUUUCAGUGUGAGGUCAGUCAAAGAAAAUCAUUUUUUCCUGCACUUGCCUGAUAGACAGAGGAGGGAUGGGCCUUUGAUUUGUUUGCUGCAUUUGGACAAACCUGAAGAACAGGGAAGAAGGCCCAUGGCUGACUGUCCAAGCUGUGAAACAGUGAAUACAAUCAAAUACACUGCAUGUUCAGGGUUACUUCUGCCAUUACUCUGUCAUAAUAAUCAUGCAGAUUGGCCGUUGAUAUGUUGCAUCCACCCUUUCGCUUUUUGUUUCUUCCUGGUGGAAUCCCCCUCUUUGUAAGGUCGUCCCUUCCAGACCGCCGUCAUCACGUCAGGGUCUUUAUC